RNAcentral lists this ribosomal RNA (2900 nucleotides) under Shigella flexneri 6603-63. RNAcentral's name for it is "bacterial LSU rRNA". It matches the Rfam family "Bacterial large subunit ribosomal RNA". The record is from RNAcentral. Lineage: Bacteria; Pseudomonadati; Pseudomonadota; Gammaproteobacteria; Enterobacterales; Enterobacteriaceae.
UUAAGCGACUAAGCGUACACGGUGGAUGCCCUGGCAGUCAGAGGCGAUGAAGGACGUGCUAAUCUGCGAUAAGCGUCGGUAAGGUGAUAUGAACCGUUAUAACCGGCGAUUUCCGAAUGGGGAAACCCAGUGUGAUUCGUCACACUAUCAUUAACUGAAUCCAUAGGUUAAUGAGGCGAACCGGGGGAACUGAAACAUCUAAGUACCCCGAGGAAAAGAAAUCAACCGAGAUUCCCCCACGUAGCGGCGAGCGAACGGGGAGCAGCCCAGAGCCUGAAUCAGUGUGUGUGUUAGUGGAAGCGUCUGGAAAGGCGUGCGAUACAGGGUGACAGCCCCGUACACAAAAAUGCACAUACUGUGAGCUCGAUGAGUAGGGCGGGACACGUGGUAUCCUGUCUGAAUAUGGGGGGACCAUCCUCCAAGGCUAAAUACUCCUGACUGACCGAUAGUGAACCAGUACCGUGAGGGAAAGGCGAAAAGAACCCCGGCGAGGGGAGUGAAAAAGACCUGAAACCGUGUACGUACAAGCAGUGGGAGCACGCUUAGGCGUGUGACUGCGUACCUUUUGAUAAUGGGUCAGCGACUUAUAUUCUGUAGCAAGGUUAACCGAAUAGGGGAGCCGAAGGGAAACCGAGUCUUAACUGGGCGUUAAGUUGCAGGGUAUAGACCCGAAACCCGGUGAUCUAGCCAUGGGCAGGUUGAAGGUUGGGUAACACUAACUGGAGGACCGAACCGACUAAUGUUGAAAAAUUAGCGGAUGACUUGUGGCUGGGGGUGAAAGGCCAAUCAAACCGGGAGAUAGCUGGUUCUCCCCGAAAGCUAUUUAGGUAGCGCCUCGUGAAUUCAUCUCCGGGGGUAGAGCACUGUUUCGGCAAGGGGGUCAUCCCGACUUACCAACCCGAUGCAAACUGCGAAUACCGGAGAAUGUUAUCACGGGAGACACACGGCGGGUGCUAACGUCCGUCGUGAAGAGGGAAACAACCCAGACCGCCAGCUAAGGUCCCAAAGUCAUGGUUAAGUGGGAAACGAUGUGGGAAGGCCCAGACAGCCAGGAUGUUGGCUUAGAAGCAGCCAUCAUUUAAAGAAAGCGUAAUAGCUCACUGGUCGAGUCGGCCUGCGCGGAAGAUGUAACGGGGCUAAACCAUGCACCGAAGCUGCGGCAGCGACGCUUAUGCGUUGUUGGGUAGGGGAGCGUUCUGUAAGCCUGUGAAGGUGUGCUGUGAGGUAUGCUGGAGGUAUCAGAAGUGCGAAUGCUGACAUAAGUAACGAUAAAGCGGGUGAAAAGCCCGCUCGCCGGAAGACCAAGGGUUCCUGUCCAACGUUAAUCGGGGCAGGGUGAGUCGACCCCUAAGGCGAGGCCGAAAGGCGUAGUCGAUGGGAAACAGGUUAAUAUUCCUGUACUUGGUGUUACUGCGAAGGGGGGACGGAGAAGGCUAUGUUGGCCGGGCGACGGUUGUCCCGGUUUAAGCGUGUAGGCUGGUUUUCCAGGCAAAUCCGGAAAAUCAAGGCCGAGGCGUGAUGACGAGGCACUACGGUGCUGAAGCACAAAUGCCCUGCUUCCAGGAAAAGCCUCUAAGCAUCAGGUAACAUCAAAUCGUACCCCAAACCGACACAGGUGGUCAGGUAGAGAAUACCAAGGCGCUUGAGAGAACUCGGGUGAAGGAACUAGGCAAAAUGGUGCCGUAACUUCGGGAGAAGGCACGCUGAUACGUAGGUGAAGCGACUUGCUCGUGGAGCUGAAAUCAGUCGAAGAUACCAGCUGGCUGCAACUGUUUAUUAAAAACACAGCACUGUGCAAACACGAAAGUGGACGUAUACGGUGUGACGCCUGCCCGGUGCCGGAAGGUUAAUUGAUGGGGUUAGCGCAAGCGAAGCUCUUGAUCGAAGCCCCGGUAAACGGCGGCCGUAACUAUAACGGUCCUAAGGUAGCGAAAUUCCUUGUCGGGUAAGUUCCGACCUGCACGAAUGGCGUAAUGAUGGCCAGGCUGUCUCCACCCGAGACUCAGUGAAAUUGAACUCGCUGUGAAGAUGCAGUGUACCCGCGGCAAGACGGAAAGACCCCGUGAACCUUUACUAUAGCUUGACACUGAACAUUGAGCCUUGAUGUGUAGGAUAGGUGGGAGGCUUUGAAGUGUGGACGCCAGUCUGCAUGGAGCCGACCUUGAAAUACCACCCUUUAAUGUUUGAUGUUCUAACGUGGACCCGUGAUCCGGGUUGCGGACAGUGUCUGGUGGGUAGUUUGACUGGGGCGGUCUCCUCCUAAAGAGUAACGGAGGAGCACGAAGGUUGGCUAAUCCUGGUCGGACAUCAGGAGGUUAGUGCAAUGGCAUAAGCCAGCUUGACUGCGAGCGUGACGGCGCGAGCAGGUGCGAAAGCAGGUCAUAGUGAUCCGGUGGUUCUGAAUGGAAGGGCCAUCGCUCAACGGAUAAAAGGUACUCCGGGGAUAACAGGCUGAUACCGCCCAAGAGUUCAUAUCGACGGCGGUGUUUGGCACCUCGAUGUCGGCUCAUCACAUCCUGGGGCUGAAGUAGGUCCCAAGGGUAUGGCUGUUCGCCAUUUAAAGUGGUACGCGAGCUGGGUUUAGAACGUCGUGAGACAGUUCGGUCCCUAUCUGCCGUGGGCGCUGGAGAACUGAGGGGGGCUGCUCCUAGUACGAGAGGACCGGAGUGGACGCAUCACUGGUGUUCGGGUUGUCAUGCCAAUGGCACUGCCCGGUAGCUAAAUGCGGAAGAGAUAAGUGCUGAAAGCAUCUAAGCACGAAACUUGCCCCGAGAUGAGUUCUCCCUGACCCUUUAAGGGUCCUGAAGGAACGUUGAAGACGACGACGUUGAUAGGCCGGGUGUGUAAGCGCAGCGAUGCGUUGAGCUAACCGGUACUAAUGAACCGUGAGGCUUAACCUU